Molecule: ribosomal RNA, 864 nt
Filed under: Lactobacillus sp. ljubL1r
Lineage: Bacteria; Bacillati; Bacillota; Bacilli; Lactobacillales; Lactobacillaceae
Description: bacterial SSU rRNA
Rfam family: Bacterial small subunit ribosomal RNA
Source: RNAcentral
GGUGCUUGCAUUAAUUUUUAACAUCGGGACGAGUGGCGAACUGGUGAGUAACACGUGGAUAACCUGCCCUGAAGUAUGGGAUAACAUUUGGAAACAAGUGCUAAUACCGUAUAAUUAGUAAAAGUCGCAUGACUUCUACUUGAAAGAUGGUUCUGCUAUCGCUUUAGGAUGGAUCCGCGGCGUAUUAGCUAGUUGGUGAGAUAAAAGCCCACCAAGGCGAUGAUACGUAGCCGACCUGAGAGGGUAAUCGGCCACAUUGGGACUGAGACACGGCCCAGACUCCUACGGGAGGCAGCAGUAGGGAAUCUUCCACAAUGGACGAAAGUCUGAUGGAGCAACGCCGCGUGAGUGAAGAAGGGUUUCGGCUCGUAAAACUCUGUUGUUAAAGAAGAACAAGUGUAAGAGUAACUGUUUAUGCUUUGACGGUAUUUAACCAGAAAGCCACGGCUAACUACGUGCCAGCAGCCGCGGUAAUACGUAGGUGGCAAGCGUUGUCCGGAUUUAUUGGGCGUAAAGCGAGCGCAGGCGGUUUUUUAAGUCUGAUGUGAAAGCCUUCGGCUCAACCGAAGAAGUGCAUCGGAAACUAAAUAACUUGAAUACAGAAGAGGACAGUGGAACUCCAUGUGUAGCGGUGAAAUGCGUAGAUAUAUGGAAGAACACCAGUGGCGAAGGCGGCUGUCUGGUCUGUUAUUGACGCUGAGGCUCGAAAGCAUGGGUAGCGAACAGGAUUAGAUACCCUGGUAGUCCAUGCCGUAAACGAUGAAUGCUAGGUGUUGGAGGGUUUCCGCCCUUCAGUGCCGCAGCUAACGCAUUAAGCAUUCCGCCUGGGGGAGUACGACCGCAAGGUUGAAACUCAAAGGAAUU